Syngnathus acus (greater pipefish) is the source of this 115-nucleotide long non-coding RNA. RefSeq lists it as uncharacterized. The transcript has 3 exons. Lineage: Eukaryota; Metazoa; Chordata; Actinopteri; Syngnathiformes; Syngnathidae. The record is from RefSeq and is a predicted model, not a curated record.
AUAGUCCCAACUAGUGUGCCCCAUACUACUAAAUUGUCUUAAUGGUGAGGACAAAUGCGCGAAAUCGUACAUGGACCUUAAGCAGCAUAUCAGGGAUAUUGAAUCGCGUAUUAUU